CGAAGGGUGCAAGCGUUAGUCGGAAUUACUGGGCGUAAAGCGUGCGUAGGCGGUUUCUUAAGUCGGAUGUGAAAGCCCUGGGCUCAACCUGGGAAUGGCACUCGAUACUGGGAAGCUAGAGUGUGUCAGAGGAUGGUGGAAUUCCCGGUGUAGCGGUGAAAUGCGUAGAGAUCGGGAGGAACAUCAGUGGCGAAGGCGGCCAUCUGGGACAACACUGACGCUGAGGCACGAAAGCGUGGGAGCAAACAGGAUU
This 253-nucleotide ribosomal RNA is filed under the name uncultured bacterium. RNAcentral's name for it is "partial 16S ribosomal RNA". It matches the Rfam family "Bacterial small subunit ribosomal RNA", at positions 526 to 779 of the family's 1533-position model. The record is from RNAcentral.